This 832-nucleotide ribosomal RNA is filed under the name Physcia stellaris. Its description in RNAcentral is "SSU rRNA". It matches the Rfam family "Bacterial small subunit ribosomal RNA", at positions 370 to 1240 of the family's 1533-position model. The record is from RNAcentral. Lineage: Eukaryota; Fungi; Ascomycota; Lecanoromycetes; Caliciales; Physciaceae.
AAUAGCCUAACGGCUGAACCAGCAACUUGGAGGAACGUAUAGCGAAAGCUAGUUGCAUUUAAUUUAGCGAAAGCUAAACUGGUGCAGAAUUGAUUCUAUCAAAUAAAGUUCUAGACAGGUUAUGAUGAUGACAUUUCCUAUCUAUGUGUCUUGACCAAAUUACGUGCCAGCAGUCGCGGUAACACGUAGAAGACUAGUGUUAUUCAUCUUUAAUAGGUUUAAAGGGUACCUAGACGGUAAAUCCAGUCCAAAAAGGAUACUAAUUUGCUAGAGUUUAAUGUGAGGGGGCACUAAAGUACUGAUAAGUGUAGAGAUGAAAUUCUGUGAUACAAUAUAAGGACAGGUAAAGGCGAAAGCAUCUCAUUAUGUAAUAACUGACGUUGAGGGACGAAGGCUAGGAGAAGCAAAAAGGAUUAGAUACCCAAGUAGUCUUAGCAGAAAAUUAUGAAUGUCAUAGGAUGGAAAUAGUGGAUAACCAUUUUUUUUUCUAUAAAUGAAAGUGUAAGCAUUCCACCUCGAGAGUAAUUUGGCAACAUUGGAACUGAAAUCAUUAGACCGUUUCUGAAACAAGUAGUGAAGUAUGUUGUUUAAUUUGAUGGUCCGCAAAAAACCUUACCACAAUUUGAAUAGAAAUUUUUAUUUUUUACAAGCGCUGCACGGUUGUCUCCAGUUAAUGUCGUGAGAUCUUGGUUAGUUCCAUUAAAUUAACGUAAACCCUUACUUUAUUUAUAUAUAGAGUAGUUCACCGCUAGAUUGGAUGUGAUAACAGGGACUAAGACAAGUCAUCAUGGCCUUAAUAUUGUGGGCUAUAGACGUGCCACAUAUGCCUUAC